RNAcentral lists this long non-coding RNA (507 nucleotides) under Ixodes scapularis (black-legged tick). Its description in RNAcentral is "uncharacterized LOC115317802". Lineage: Eukaryota; Metazoa; Arthropoda; Arachnida; Ixodida; Ixodidae. The record is from RNAcentral.
GUCACUGGGGCUCGUUCCGUACGCGGGGACGCCGUCGAAAUGUCUGAGUGAAGAGGACGCGCGGGCGGUGCUCGACGGAAGCCCCAGCCCGACUCCGGACCCAGAUUCGUGGCGGCUGACCACGACGGCAUGGUGCUCGUGCAAGAGGUGCGGCAUCAUGCCGACGCCUAAAGAGUGCAUCUGCUGCAGGGAGUGUCCCCCCGCGGUCGCGACUCGCCCGGGAGGGUGCAUCACGGAGCACAACAACUUCGCACCGAUCUGCCUCCAGCCCGGCGUGCUCGAAGUCGCGUUCUGGGCUCUGCAGGAGGCAGGUCGUCACCCGGCGCCGCGAGAACAGAAGCUUCGUUUUGCGGCCUAUCACCAAUUCGUGCGGUGGAUGUGGCGGAGGCUGGGACGUCGCAAUCGACGUGUUCUACCGGCCUGCGUGGUCAAGAGGAUCCACGAUGAAUUCCCUUCGGAAACGUAUACGGGGUUUCAUGAUGUAGAAUAAAAAUGUUGUAAACGCCA